This 530-nucleotide ribosomal RNA is filed under the name Parapercis sexfasciata (grubfish). Its description in RNAcentral is "partial 16S ribosomal RNA". It matches the Rfam family "Bacterial large subunit ribosomal RNA", at positions 1936 to 2616 of the family's 2925-position model. Lineage: Eukaryota; Metazoa; Chordata; Actinopteri; Uranoscopiformes; Pinguipedidae. The record is from RNAcentral.
GUAUCUUGACCGUGCGAAGGUAGCGCAAUCACUUGUCUUUUAAAUGGAGACCCGUAUGAAUGGCUAAACGAGGGCCUAACUGUCUCCUUUCCCAAAUCAGUGAAAUUGAUCUCUCCGUGCAGAAGCGGGGAUAAAAACAUAAGACGAGAAGACCCUAUGGAGCUUUAGACACUAAGAUAGCCCCCCUCCCAACCCCUUAAAGGGAUACUAGAGCUUGAAAGACCACUAUCCUAAUGUCUUCGGUUGGGGCGACCGAGGGGGAACACUUAACCCCCAUGCAGAAGUGAAGGCCUCCUUCCAAAAACAAGAGCUACCGCUCUAAUUCUCAGAACCUCUGACUUAUAAUGAUCCGGCAAUGCCGAUCAACGGACCAAGUUACCCUAGGGAUAACAGCGCAAUCCUCUUUAAGAGACCCUAUCGCCAAGAGGGUUUACGACCUCGAUGUUGGAUCAGGACAUCCUAAUGGUGCAGCCGCUAUUAAGGGUUCGUUUGUUCAACGAUUAAUAGUCCUACGUGAUCUGAGUUCAGAC